CCUACGGGAGGCAGCAGUAGGGAAUAUUGCUCAAUGGGGGAAACCCUGAUGCAGCAACGCCGCGUGGAGGAUGAAGGUUUUCGGAUUGUAAACUCCUUUUGUUAGAGAAGAUAAUGACGGUAUCUAACGAAUAAGCACCGGCUAACUCCGUGCCAGCAGCCGCGGUAAUACGGAGGGUGCAAGCGUUACUCGGAAUCACUGGGCGUAAAGGGCGCGUAGGCGGGAUAGCAAGUCAGAUGUGAAAACCUAUGGCUUAACCAUAGAACUGCAUUUGAAACUGUUAUACUAGAGUAUGGGAGAGGGAGGUGGAAUUCGUGGUGUAGGGGUGAAAUGCGUAGAGAUCAAGAGGAAUACUCGUUGCGAAGGCGGCCUGCUAGAACAUAACUGACGCUGAUGCGCGAAAGCGUGGGGAGCAAACAGGAUUAGAUACCCGAGUAGUC
This 440-nucleotide ribosomal RNA is filed under the name uncultured bacterium. RNAcentral's name for it is "partial 16S ribosomal RNA". It matches the Rfam family "Bacterial small subunit ribosomal RNA", at positions 338 to 795 of the family's 1533-position model. The record is from RNAcentral.